UAGACAGUAUUCAACUCAAAUGGAGUCAUCAAUACAUUUAUUAUCACACUAUUUCAUAGAAUAGUGAGGACUACUAAUGCUAUCAUCUGGACCGUCACUACGUUCCCCGACUAGUCCCGGCUACGUUGUCAUUUUCUGAAGAGAACAAUGAAAGAAAAAUGGUGAGCUCAACUAGCCCAGUAAGAAAUAUUAUGACUAAGAUAAUGCAGAAUAAUUUAUCGUUAGCCUUCAAUAGUGUUAAAUUGACAAAAUAUAACAAACAUCAAGUUUUAC
RNAcentral lists this long non-coding RNA (273 nucleotides) under Panax ginseng (ginseng). Its description in RNAcentral is "long non-coding RNA (PGIN_LNC011496)". The record is from RNAcentral. Lineage: Eukaryota; Viridiplantae; Streptophyta; Magnoliopsida; Apiales; Araliaceae.